AAUCUGGUGCUGAUAUUGCCCGCGUAAAUUACCCAAUCCUAAUUCAGGGAGGUAGUGGCAAGAAAUAACAACUCGGAGUCUCACGACUUGCGAGAUUGCAAUGAGCACAAUUUAAAUCUCUUAGCAAGGAACAAUUGGAGGGCAAGUCUGGUGCCAGCAGCCGCGGUAAUUCCAGCUCCAAUAGCGUAUAUUAAAGUUGUUGCAGUUAAAAAGCUCGUAGUUGAACUUCUGGGCGUUCUCACAGUGGCUCCGGUCGUUGUGAGGGCGUUCAUCCGUCUGAGAACUACAUUCGGCCUUCGCUGGUCGGUGUAGGGAUCAGGCAUUUUACUUUGAAAAAAUUAGAGUGUUCCAGGCAGGCAAUCGCCUUGAAUACACAAGCAUGGAAUAAUGGAAUAGGACUAUGAUUCAUUUUGUUGGUUAUUGGAUCAUAGUAAUGAUUAACAGGGACAGUUGGGGGCAUUAGUAUUUAAUUGUCAGAGGUGAAAUUCUUGGAUUUAUUAAAGACUAACUUAUGCGAAAGCAUUUGCCAAGGAUGUUUUCAUUAAUCAAGAUCGAAAGUUAGGGGAUCAAAGACGAUCAGAUACCGUCCUAGUCUUAACCAUAAACUAUUCCGACUAGGGAUUGGUUGGGUUCCUUCAGCCCAAUCAGCACCUUAUGAGAAAUCAAAGUCUUUGGGUUCCGGGGGGAGUAUGGUCGCAAGGCUGAAACUUAAAGGAAUUGACGGAAGGGCACCACCAGGAGUGGAGCCAGCGGCUUAAUUUGACCCAACACGGGGAAACUCACCAGCGCAAAACAUGGGUGGGAUUGACAGAUUGAGAGCUCUUUCUUGAUUCUAUGGGUGGUGGUGCAUGGCCGUUCUUAGUUGGUGGAGUGAUUUGUCUGGUUAAUUCCGUUAACGAACGAGACCUUAACCUGCUAACUAGUCUCUUCAUGUUAAAUGGGGAGGACUUCUUAGAGGGACUAUGAGUGCAAGCUCAUGGAAGUUUGAGGCAAUAACAGGUCUGUGAUGCCCUUAGAUGUGCUGGGCCGCACGCGCGCUACACUGAUACGUUCAGCAAGUUUUAUCCUGGUCCGGAAGGAUUUCGGGUAAUCUUUGUAAAGCGUAUCGUGCUGGGGAUCGAUCUUUGCAAUUAUAGAUCUUGAACGAGGAAUUCCUAGUAAGUGCAAGUCAUCAGCUUGUACUGAUUACGUCCCUGCCCUUUGUACACACCGCCCGUCGCUCCUACCGAUUCGAGUGAUCCGGUGAACCUUCUGGACUGCUGAGGUCUCGGCCUCGGUGGAAAGUUAAGUAAACCUUAUCACUUAGAGGAAGGAGAAGUCGUAACAAGGUU
Molecule: ribosomal RNA, 1331 nt
Filed under: metagenome
Description: SSU rRNA
Rfam family: Eukaryotic small subunit ribosomal RNA
Source: RNAcentral